RNAcentral lists this microRNA precursor (74 nucleotides) under Glossina austeni. RNAcentral describes it as "mir-10 microRNA precursor family". It matches the Rfam family "mir-10 microRNA precursor family". From Rfam's summary of the family: In this case the mature sequence comes from the 5' arm of the precursor. The extents of the hairpin precursors are not generally known and are estimated based on hairpin prediction. Lineage: Eukaryota; Metazoa; Arthropoda; Insecta; Diptera; Glossinidae. RNAcentral also lists the same sequence under 3 other names. The record is from RNAcentral.
UAACAGAAACCCGUAAAUCCGAACUUGUGCUAUAUGCUAAUUGUUACAAGACCGGCAUUAUGGGAGUCUGUCAA